CGUGGGUAACCUGCCCAAGAGAUCGGGAUAACACCUGGAAACAGAUGCUAAUACCGGAUAACAACAGAUGAUGCCUAUCAACUGUUUAAAAGAUGGUUCUGCUAUCACUCUUGGAUGGACCUGCGGUGCAUUAGCUAGUUGGUAGGGUAACGGCCUGCCAAGGCGAUGAUACAUAGCCGAGUUGAGAGACUGAUCGGCCACAUUGGGACUGAGACACGGCCCAAACUCCUACGGGAGGCAGCAGGG
RNAcentral lists this ribosomal RNA (246 nucleotides) under uncultured Lactobacillus sp. RNAcentral describes it as "partial 16S ribosomal RNA". It matches the Rfam family "Bacterial small subunit ribosomal RNA", at positions 116 to 354 of the family's 1533-position model. Lineage: Bacteria; Bacillati; Bacillota; Bacilli; Lactobacillales; Lactobacillaceae. The record is from RNAcentral.